AUUGAACGCUGGCGGCAUGCCUUACACAUGCAAGUCGAACGGCAGCAUGGAGAGCUUGCUCUCUGAUGGCGAGUGGCGCACGGGUGAGUCAUGCAUCGGAACGUACCGUGUAAUGGGGGAUAACGUAGCGAAAGUUACGCUAAUACCGCAUACGACCUGAGGGGGAAAGCAGGGGAUCGCAAGACCUUGCGUUAUACGAGCGGCUGAUGCCAGAUUAGCUAGUUGGUGAGGUAAAGGCUCACCAAGGCGGCGAUCGGUAGCGGGCGUGAGAGGAUGAUCGGCCACACUGGGACUGAGCCACGGCCCGGACUCCUACGGGAGGCAGCAGUGGGGAAUUUUGGACAGUGGGGGCAACCCUGACCCAGCCAUGCCGAGUGAGUGAAGAAGGCCUUGGGGUUGUAAAGCUCUUUCGGCCGGGAAGAAAUCGCACAGGCUAAUACUCUGUGUGGAUGACGGUACCGGCAUAAGAAGCACCGGCUAACUACGUGCCAGCCGCCGCGGUAA
RNAcentral lists this ribosomal RNA (504 nucleotides) under uncultured bacterium. RNAcentral's name for it is "partial 16S ribosomal RNA". It matches the Rfam family "Bacterial small subunit ribosomal RNA", at positions 29 to 523 of the family's 1533-position model. The record is from RNAcentral.